GUUUGCACCUGGUCAAAUCACUCCUCUUGAGAACGUUCUUCUGGAGCCCGGGUGUCCCCAGCUGGGUUUAGAACACGGGCGGUCGGGUCCAGGAAGACGUACCUCUGUACCGCCUCGAGCCUGGUUCUGAGCAAGGUUCAACUCUCUCCCCUUUGGUCCCCAAGAGCUGAGACAUUUCGGAGUAGAAGUCCAGGUGAAGAACUAAAUUCAGUUUCUGGAUACCAACGCGAGGGCCUCCCGGCUGACCGGCUGUGAGCGCACCCAGGUGGGCGGGCAGCCUGCCUUCGUGAUCGCGACUCAUUAGCCAGGAUGUCAGCCCUGAGGUUCAGGCUGUGGGGGUCAGGGAUGUUGCCCACAUCCCACACCGCUCCUGGCUGGACCGCGAUGCCCCAGGGGAGAAGGCGUGGAAGAGCCCAAGAACCAGAGUCCGCAGCCCUGCUCCCCCUCUGCCCUUCAAUGGGAGUGACCCUGAGCAAGCAGGAACUCUUCUCAGAGAUACACCAAGCUGCCCAUCUGCAAACCGGGGAGCGCAUAUGUCCAGCCUGCCUCCUUCUAUGAACCCCGACGGAGCGAGCUCUCUGUGCUGCAGAGAGACCUUUCCAGAGCCUGUGUUGUGUUCGACGGUAAAAGAGAUUCGAAUGAUUUCUUCAGGGGAAAACGGUAUAAUCUACACAGGACACAGCCAUCCUGUCAGGUUUUUCUGGGGGGACAGGGGAUGAUCAGCAGCUAACGAGUGGUUAAGUGCUAAAAUCCACACUGCAGUUCGGAAUGCUUGGCCUUUUCUUUCGGAAAAAAAUAUUUUAAAAGAAAAAAAAGGAAAUAUUUUGAAUCCGGAAAAUUAAACUUUUGUCUUCAGAGAUGGAAAGCUUGUGG
Molecule: non-coding RNA, 873 nt
Organism: Leptonychotes weddellii (Weddell seal)
Lineage: Eukaryota; Metazoa; Chordata; Mammalia; Carnivora; Phocidae
Source: RefSeq, a predicted model, not a curated record